This 168-nucleotide ribosomal RNA is filed under the name uncultured bacterium. RNAcentral describes it as "partial 16S ribosomal RNA". It matches the Rfam family "Bacterial small subunit ribosomal RNA", at positions 1325 to 1500 of the family's 1533-position model. The record is from RNAcentral.
GCUGGAUUCGCUAGUAAUCGCGCAUCAGCCACGGCGCGGUGAAUACGUUCCCGGGCCUUGUACACACCGCCCGUCAAGCCAUGGAAGCCGGGAGUGCCUGAAGUACGCGACCGCAAGGAGCGUCCUAAGGUAAAACCGGUGACUGGGGCUAAGUCGUAACAAGGUACC